CGGGCUGAAUGCUUGGUGUCCGGCUGGUUGGGGGUUGGGGCGUCCCGGGGUGGGAGGUAGUGGGAGGCUUUGGGUCCUGGGGGACGGUUCCUUGAAGGGGACAGUGGGGACCCAGCCCCUCCUGUCCUCUCUGCUUCCCUGACGUGGUGAGCUGUGGCUCCGCGUCACCACCUGCUCCUGCUGCCUCACCACAGGCCAGAGCCACAGGGCCAGGGGCCACGGAUUGGAACCCUUAAACUGUGAGGCAGAUGAACCUUUUCUCUUUAUAAGCUGAUGGCCUCGGGUAAUUGAUCACAGUAACGGCGGCUGCCUGCCACAGAGGCCUUCUGAACAUGGCUGGAUUGUGUCCGUCUCAGGGUCGGGCCCCUGGACAUGGCCUCCGGCCUCUCCCUUCCCUGGCCCCAGCCGUCCUCUCACUAUUCCUCAAAGGCACCGGGUCACCUGGAAUGCUGUGUCCACUGAGCUGCCGGGUCCAGGCCUCAGAACACUGCCCAGGGUGGCCCGUCCAGAUCCUGGCUCAAAUGCCAUCUCUUCAGAGAGGCCACCUGGGAAGGCGGUCCGUGGUGGGGACGUCCUGGGCUCUGCAGGGCGUCCAGUAGCACCCUGGCCUCAACCCACCCGAUGCCAGGAGCAAACCUGUCCCUGGUCACAGCAGCCCAGGCCACCUCGCAUGGAGCAAAACCACCUUUGGCGAGAGGCACCUCACUUUCUUUUUCUUUUGGUGGCACUGGGCUUUGCACAUGCCAGACCGGCGCUGUGGGCUCAUCUGGUGCCCGGGCCUUUUUAUUCUUUAUUGGAGACACGGUCUUCCCGGGUGGCCGAGGCUGGCCUCAAACUUGCGAUCCUCCUGCCCCAGACUCCUGAGUCGCUGGGAUUACAGACGAGCGCCACCCACCCGGACAGAGUCACCUCAUUUUAGAAAGCAGCUCUAUGUCCCACUGUGUGGACACACGCGGCGUCCUGAGCUGCCCACGGUGGCUUCUGGGUUUCCUCACGGUUGGGAAUAAAGCAGUUUAGAUCUGCGCGUGUGACGUGGGGUCUCAUGUCGCAAAGUCCCCGGACAGAAGUUGGCCAGAUUCGGGGGAGACCCAGCAUGGGGUGCAGAGGCUUCUUGGGCCAGCACCCCGA
This 1128-nucleotide long non-coding RNA is filed under the name Marmota monax (woodchuck). The record is from RNAcentral. Lineage: Eukaryota; Metazoa; Chordata; Mammalia; Rodentia; Sciuridae.